GUGGCUGUAGCUCAGUAGGUAGAGCACCUGGUUGUGGUCCAGGGGGUCGCGGGUUCGAGUCCCGUCAGCCACCCCA
Molecule: transfer RNA, 76 nt
Filed under: Actinomycetales bacterium
Lineage: Bacteria; Bacillati; Actinomycetota; Actinomycetes; Actinomycetales
Description: tRNA-His
Rfam family: tRNA
About the family: Transfer RNA (tRNA) molecules are approximately 80 nucleotides in length.
Source: RNAcentral